RNAcentral lists this ribosomal RNA (532 nucleotides) under Alternaria pharbitidis. Its description in RNAcentral is "eukaryotic LSU rRNA". The stretch from base 189 to 342 matches the Rfam family "5.8S ribosomal RNA". The record is from RNAcentral. Lineage: Eukaryota; Fungi; Ascomycota; Dothideomycetes; Pleosporales; Pleosporaceae.
GCGUACCUGCGGAGGGAUCAUUACACAAAUAUGAAGGCGGGCUGGAACCUCUCGGGGUUACAGCCUUGCUGAAUUAUUCACCCUUGUCUUUUGCGUACUUCUUGUUUCCUUGGUGGGUUCGCCCACCACUAGGACAAACAUAAACCUUUUGUAAUUGCAAUCAGCGUCAGUAACAAAUUAAUAAUUACAACUUUCAACAACGGAUCUCUUGGUUCUGGCAUCGAUGAAGAACGCAGCGAAAUGCGAUAAGUAGUGUGAAUUGCAGAAUUCAGUGAAUCAUCGAAUCUUUGAACGCACAUUGCGCCCUUUGGUAUUCCAAAGGGCAUGCCUGUUCGAGCGUCAUUUGUACCCUCAAGCUUUGCUUGGUGUUGGGCGUCUUGUCUCUAGCUUUGCUGGAGACUCGCCUUAAAGUAAUUGGCAGCCGGCCUACUGGUUUCGGAGCGCAGCACAAGUCGCACUCUCUAUCAGCAAAGGUCUAGCAUCCAUUAAGCCUUUUUUUCAACUUUGACCUCGGAUCAGUAGGAGCCAGUCC